Molecule: long non-coding RNA, 502 nt
Filed under: Elaeis guineensis (African oil palm)
Lineage: Eukaryota; Viridiplantae; Streptophyta; Magnoliopsida; Arecales; Arecaceae
Description: long non-coding RNA (EGUI_LNC072608)
Source: RNAcentral
UUUUUUUAAAAAAACAACCUUGGAGAUGAAUUUCAUCCUAAUGAAUCUCGCGAAGAGAAUAAAUUUAGUCCUGCUUUUUGUGACUGUGGUUAGAAAAGUGCGGAUAAGAGUUUUUUAUAGCAUUUUAGUGCUAGUAAAUGGUGCAUCUGUUGGUUGAGAAAGGAGAAUAGAAAAGAAAGAACAUGAUCUUGGAGGAAAAUUCUACAAUAGUAGUAAUAGAAGCUGGUUGUCAAGGAGAUAUUGAAAUCGCAAUGAUGGAAGCUGAACAAUGGACGACGUCUCUUUCUCGAUAGAACGAUCCGCACUCAAAGACUUCUGCAGCUAACAUUUCAUUUCUUGUGACACUUUGAAUGGUCAAUAGACUAAAUGAUAGUGGUGUGAUGGAGAUUACGAGCACCUAAACCACCAGAAAAGCACAAAAGCAGGGAGUCCAAGUCCCAUGCCGACCAGACAUCAUCAUCGCUUCCAAUUCGAGAACCACCACCUUAUAAACAAUGAAGCA